GUGCUCUCCACAAACCCUAACCCUAGAAAAUGAAGAUCGGAUGAGAAUCGCAGUUUUGGUGCUUCAAGGUCUAAAGUUGAAUCAGAUUCUAUCAUCAAUCUACUGAUCCGGGUUGGUUGGAGAUGAAUAUGGUUACGAUGUUGUUCAGCUUCAGUUGUAGAUGGUUAUUGGAAAGUUUAAAGAGGAGCUAGUUUGAAUGUUUUGGGAAGAAGACAUAUCUCGAAAUAAGAGCAUUCAUAUUAGCUUCUCUAUCCUUAUCUAUAUAAUUUAACCAAAAACACAUUUCUUCUUCCAAUUUUUUGAUUAGAUAAAAAUCCCCUUUAUCUCAUUCUCUAUAUUUAUCUCUGUUUAAUUUAAUAAUACUUUAAAUCUCCCUUUUUAUCAUUUUUUUCUUUUUUUUCCCACUCACAACCACUCAAGAAUAUUAUAGAAAAUAAAUAUUAAAAUGAUGAUGAAUCCAUAGACUUAGAGAAUCACUUUUCAGCCUCAAUAAUUGGUCCUAUUUUAGAGGAGUAUUGUGAAGCAUGUAAAUACAAGAAUCCAGCAUUUUUUUUCCUAAAUUGUACAAACUAGAAUUGAGACCCGCCGCAAUGCGGCGGGGAUUCUUUAGUUAUGACUAAGUCGAUCUAGGACCCGCACGUUAUGUUAAACAUGUCAAACGGAGAAAAAUAGACGAUGUAAAAACGUUCACCCACGCACGCACAUUGCAUCAGGUUAACUCGCAAAAUUUAGAACGAAAUGUAAAAAGUUAAACCAAUGACGCACGUUGCGAUGUGUUAAGUCACAAAAUUUAGAACCAAGCAUAAAGCAAAAAAAUUGCGGAAAAUGAAAACUGUAAAGGACCAAAGUUGAAAGUAAAAAAAGUUGUGAGGAUAGAUUGAAAAAGAUAAAAAGUUUUGGGUUAAAAG
RNAcentral lists this long non-coding RNA (908 nucleotides) under Helianthus annuus (common sunflower). RNAcentral's name for it is "hypothetical non coding rna". The record is from RNAcentral. Lineage: Eukaryota; Viridiplantae; Streptophyta; Magnoliopsida; Asterales; Asteraceae.